GACGAACGCUGGCGGCGUGCCUAAUACAUGCAAGUGGGACGCAAGAGGACACACUGUGCUUGCACACCGUGUUUUCUUGAGUCGCGAACGGGUGAGUAACGCGUAGGUAACCUGCCUAUUAGCGGGGGAUAACUAUUGGAAACGAUAGCUAAUACCGCAUAAUAUUAAUUAUUGCAUGAUAAUUGAUUGAAAGAUGCAAGCGCAUCACUAGUAGAUGGACCUGCGUUGUAUUAGCUAGUUGGUAAGGUAAGAGCUUACCAAGGCGACGAUACAUAGCCGACCUGAGAGGGUGAUCGGCCACACUGGGACUGAGACACGGCCCAGACUCCUACGGGAGGCAGCAGUAGGGAAUCUUCGGCAAUGGACGAAAGUCUGACCGAGCAACGCCGCGUGAGUGAAGAAGGUUUUCGGAUCGUAAAGCUCUGUUGUAAGUCAAGAACGUGU
RNAcentral lists this ribosomal RNA (444 nucleotides) under Streptococcus mutans. RNAcentral describes it as "bacterial SSU rRNA". It matches the Rfam family "Bacterial small subunit ribosomal RNA", at positions 28 to 454 of the family's 1533-position model. The record is from RNAcentral. Lineage: Bacteria; Bacillati; Bacillota; Bacilli; Lactobacillales; Streptococcaceae.